CAAAUUUUAAAUCUACCUGGUUUCCAGGUCGAGUUGUAAUUUGAAGAAGUGUUUUUUACUUUCCGGGUUGGGUUAAAUCCUUUGGGAUAAGGUAUCAUGGAGGGUGAGAAUCCCGUGUAUACCAACCGCAGGAUUGUUUAAUAUACACUUUCUAAGAGUCGAGUUGUUUGGGAAUGCAGCUCUAAAUGGGUGGUAAAUUUCACCUAAUGCUAAAUAUAAGCGAGAGACCGAUAGCGAACAAGUACCGUGAGGGAAAGAUGAAAAGAACUUUGAAAAGAGAGUUAAAUAGUACGUGAAAUUGUUGAAAGGGAAACGGUUGAAGUCAGUCAUGCCGGCGGGAAUCAACUUAGGGGAAACUCUGAGUGCACUUCUUCGCUUGGCAGGUUAGCGUCGAUUUUGGAUGUCAUAAAAUGACUGGGGGAAGGUAGCUCUUUCGGGAGUGUUAAGCCCUURGUAGAUGUGAUGUCCGGGAUCGAGGAUUGCAACGGAUACCUUUUGGGCUAGCCGCCUAGUCUCUAAUACGAAGUUGGGUUAUGGACAGCACGCUGACUGUGAUCUGAUUUUCGGUUAAAAGAUUAG
This 579-nucleotide ribosomal RNA is filed under the name Glomeromycotina sp. Its description in RNAcentral is "eukaryotic LSU rRNA". It matches the Rfam family "Eukaryotic large subunit ribosomal RNA", at positions 110 to 616 of the family's 3401-position model. Lineage: Eukaryota; Fungi; Glomeromycota. The record is from RNAcentral.